AGUGAACGCUGGCGGUAGGCCUAACACAUGCAAGUCGAACGGCGGCACAGUAAGAGCUUGCUCUUACGGGUGGCGAGUGGCGGACGGGUGAGGAAUACAUCGGAAUCUACUUUUUCGUGGGGGAUAACGUAGGGAAACUUACGCUAAUACCGCAUACGACCUACGGGUGAAAGCAGGGGAUCUUCGGACCUUGCGCGAUUGAAUGAGCCGAUGUCGGAUUAGCUAGUUGGCGGGGUAAAGGCCCACCAAGGCGACGAUCCGUAGCUGGUCUGAGAGGAUGAUCAGCCAAACUGGAACUGAGACACGGUCCAGACUCCUACGGGAGGCAGCAGUGGGGAAUAUUGGACAAUGGGCGCAAGCCUGAUCCAGCCAUACCGCGUGGGUGAAGAAGGCCUUCGGGUUGUAAAGCCCUUUUGUUGGGAAAGAAAAGCAGCAGGUUAAUACCCCGCUGUUCUGACGGUACCCAAAGAAUAAGCACCGGCUAACUUCGU
RNAcentral lists this ribosomal RNA (491 nucleotides) under uncultured bacterium. RNAcentral's name for it is "partial 16S ribosomal RNA". It matches the Rfam family "Bacterial small subunit ribosomal RNA", at positions 29 to 506 of the family's 1533-position model. The record is from RNAcentral.